UAAAUAACCGCCAUACGAGCCGGGAAGCCGUUUGCUCCCACAGGGUACAUGUAUCUGUGCAUUAUUAUGUAAUUCAGGUGAGGGGUGUUCAGAGAGGUCAGUAGAAGAUGGAGGAGACAGAUAUUCAGGAGAGGAAACGCAUUUGCCAAUGAGGAAGUGAUGGGCUUAUUUUGGCUGCCAAAAGGUCUGAACUGGACAUCCGUCUUCAGCAGUGUAAAACUAUUGAGCAGGGACUCCCAACUACUGCGUUUCCGGGAAAUAGGAUACAUGCUCCAUGAAAGAUCUAGGCUUCAGAUCCAGACUGCCAUGUUGCCGGCAGACUUGGUUGUCCAGCCAGGGUUCUGGCAAAUUCAGCUGUCCUGCCAUUCUGAUGGGUGACUCGGCUGUCCUACCAUGAAGCUGACAGACUGGGUUGUCCUGCCAUGUUCUGGCAGUCUCAGUUGUCUUGCCAUGUAGCUGGCAGUCUCAGUUGUCCUGCCAGAGUUUUGGCAGACUCGGCUAUCCUGCCAUUCUAAUGGCAGUGUUGGCUGUCCUGCCAUGAAACUGGCAGUCUAGAUUGUCCUGCCAUGUUGUGGCAGUCUCGGUUGUCCUGCCAUGUUCUGGCAGUCUCAGUUGUCUUGCCAUGUAGCU
Lingula anatina is the source of this 630-nucleotide long non-coding RNA. RefSeq lists it as uncharacterized. Lineage: Eukaryota; Metazoa; Brachiopoda; Lingulata; Lingulida; Lingulidae. The record is from RefSeq and is a predicted model, not a curated record.